UCACUCCCUUCAGCAGCACAGAAACUAAAACUGAAACCAUCAGAAAAGAUUAGCAUGGCCCAUGUGCAGGAUGACACCCAAAUUUGUGAAGCAUGCCAUAGGAGA
RNAcentral lists this small nuclear RNA (105 nucleotides) under Mesocricetus auratus (golden hamster). The record is from RNAcentral. Lineage: Eukaryota; Metazoa; Chordata; Mammalia; Rodentia; Cricetidae.